Molecule: unclassified non-coding RNA, 798 nt
Filed under: Hevea brasiliensis (rubber tree)
Lineage: Eukaryota; Viridiplantae; Streptophyta; Magnoliopsida; Malpighiales; Euphorbiaceae
Source: RNAcentral
GCAGACUUCUGCAACAUCAGUCCUAGCAACAGUUUUAGUUUCUGUCUCAAGAAGUUCAUCGUCCUUUCCAACAAGUAGUUCCCUUAUACCACCUUCUUUAUCUUGUAGCCCUCCAGCCCUUAUAAUUGUAUAUGGAAUUCCACAGUCAGCCAAGUAUUGUUCAGCCUUUCUUUUCCAAAUCAAUAUAUUCCCGUUCCCCAAUCUGUUCAAGGGGUGAUUAGGAUUUGUCCCUCCCAUUGACCCAACUAGCACGAUCUGCUUCACACCAGCAGCUUUAGCAGCAUCUAUUUGGUUCUUUUGGCCGAUCCAGUCUACCUGUUCAGGAUUUGCCCCAUCCUCAAAAUAGAAUUCAGGUCUUCCGCCUUUUGUUGGAUCAUACCCGGGUUUCAUUUUUGGAACAGCACUUGUAAGAAUAACAAGAGCAUCAAUACCUUGUAUAGCAGGAACAAGACUCUCGGUAUUCCUGAUAUCACCAAUAUAAACAUCAUCUGCACCACCAACUUUUUGUUUGCUUUCCUCUGUUCUAACCAAACCUCUGGCUGUAUAAGUCUCGGACCUCUCCUUCAACUUCUUAUAGACAAUUGAUCCAGUUCUUCCACCAGCACCAGUAACAAGAACAGUGCUUGUGUUCAAAUCAGCCAUUGCCAACACAGAAAAUCUGCAAAAUUUCUUGUUUUUCUUUGGAAAUGAAACAAAUGAUGAGGUAUUUUUUACAAGUGAAGAAGACAAUUCUGGAAGUCUCUGAUUUACCAAACUUAAUUUAUGGCUUUGGUAAGGAGAUACACGUGUCAAGGCAGC